UCCAGGUGUUCAGAGGCUCCACUUUCAGCAUCAGUUGCUCCAUCCAGCCUCAGUACCCAGGAGGCUCCUUCCAGCUCAACUUCACCUCCAUCAACUCAGCAAACAACUACUACUCAGAGCCAGCUGUCAAUCACUCUGCCCACUUCCUGUUCCCGGCUGCAGAGCCCGCCCACCAGGGAAACUACAGCUGUAUUUAUCACGUCUCUGCUUUUUCUCAGGACUUCUCCUCUGAGAGCCGUCUGCUCUCCGUCACCGUCACAGGCCACCAGGGGGCGGAGGCCGAGCCGACAGGAGGACAUUGAGCUGGAUUACCUGGGUGUUCCUGCUGAAGAGGAAGGAGCUCAGGGAGCAGAGUAGCAGCUCCAAGGAGCUCCUCUCACACACAUGGGUUUAUCAGCUCUUAUAGCUUUUAACCAACGUUAGAAAAUAUAGCUUUCACUCUGAAAGUCACCAGCAAUGUGUUAGUGCCUCAUGUUUCCUGACUUCCUGUCAGCUCCAAGCCCAUUGGUUCCCACUGAAGAUGAAGAUCUUUAAAAAACAUCACAAGUUAGUUUUAUUUAGAAAAGUCAAUGCAGUCGGUGCAGUUUGAAACCACAGACACACCAACCCAGGCCGCUCAGGAACUAAGUUGGCUAAUGAAUGCCAUAUAUUAAUGUUCAAAUAUCCUCUAAAAACAGUGUUACAAUACCCAGUGUUUGAAUCUAAUGUAGUGAUUCCUGAGAUAACAGGAGGAACGCGUUACAGCGCCACCUAGUGUUGGAUUUGUAGACCUCGAGCACAACAACGUUUUUUUAUAUUUUUAUAUCAACAAAUAAGAAAAAGUGCAGUUUAUAAAAUGUUACGUUUUUCACAACAAUUCAUUGAUCAGCGAGAUGGGAUAUUUGAUCCCCUUGUGGGUCACAUGGGUUAUUUUAGCAGCAGGACCAGAUUUAGCUGAACAAUAUACAAAUAGGAAUUGAACAGAAGUAAAUAAUCCAUACACUUCUUAUUUCAUAACAAUGCUGAUUUUAUAUUGAAAAAUGUUAUUUCAGAAGAAUUCAGCUUGAUUUUGGUCUGAAGAGAUUGUUUGUAAAAAAAGAGAAAUCCAAUUUUUUUUUAGAGAAAUCCGAUUAUAUUUGUAAUUUGCCAAAAUGUAUAAGAUUUUAACUUUUCUUUAAUUUUCUUAUUUCACGUGUACUGAGCUCAGUUUUGUAAUCAUUUUCAAUCAUUCAGUAUUUUUCUUACUUUAUAAGAAUUUUAAUUACAUUUUUGAUGGUAUUUGUCUGUAUUUUGUAGUAAUUUAGCUGUGUUUAAGAACUCCACCUAUUGGAGAGCAUUCCCAAAUUCAUAAGAUAUUAAAUACUAACAUGUUGUAAUUAAAAAUGUACAUAAUUUUGUAGAAGUUUCCUUUUUAAUAGGUAAUGUGCUUUGUUAUGUGAUCAAGAAAUGUGCUUGUUUUUGUAUUAUUGAGGAUUGUACUUAUUUCACAAGAUGAUCAAUAAUAUGUAAUCAUUACUUUUUGGACUUUUAUGAAACAUUUUAAUUUCUUUAGAAUUUCACUUUUUUCAAAGAACUCAGAUUAUUUUUGUGAUUUAGGAUUUUCCCAAAUUCAGGAGACUAAUUAUAUGGUACUUAAAAUGUUAACAUUGUCCGUAAACAAGUGUUGUGAUUUUGGAACCGAGAAAUGUUUUUGCUUCAUAAGAAUUUUGAUUGAUUUUGAUUUUGUUGAGACUUGGUAUUUUUUAUAAGAAUUUUGUUUUCGAUUUUAGAAAAAUAUUGACCAUUAUUUCGUAAUUUUCUUGAUUUUGUUAUGAAGAAUGUUGCUUUUUUUAACACAUUUUUUUGUUGAAGAUUUUUCUUGAUUUCUUGAUGAUUUUUGCAUCACAAAUUCUACUUGAAAAAAUUAAGAGUUUUGACCAAUUUGGUUUCCAUGAGAUUACGAUGAAGCAAAUCGUCUUAAAUUCUGAACACAGCAGAAUCCUCCAGAAAUCAUGACGAUGUUCAACAUCGUCAUGCUGUAAAGCAUGCGUAAAUGCUGUCAUUUGCUAUGUACCAAAAAAAUAAUAAAACUUCUUUAAUAAUC
Trematomus bernacchii (emerald rockcod) is the source of this 2062-nucleotide long non-coding RNA. RefSeq lists it as uncharacterized. NCBI's taxonomy places the organism in Eukaryota, Metazoa, Chordata, Actinopteri, Perciformes, Nototheniidae. The transcript is spliced from 2 exons. The record is from RefSeq and is a predicted model, not a curated record.